AAAAUGCUGCAGAAAGAAAAGCAAAGGAGAUGGAGCCUAAGCCAAUAGACCUAGCCAAAUUAAAGUUUUUUAUUGGCUUGAAAAAAGAAGUCAAGAAGACGUUACUAUCGAACUACGAUCAUUUGUUAGUUAAGUCUUAUUGGAAGAAAAAUAAGGAGAGUCGUCGUCUAGUCGUACUAUCCCCCAGCUCGGGCAGCAAGAUCAGCAAGCAGAUAAAGAUGUUCUAGCUAUAGCAGCUAUGCCUUUA
RNAcentral lists this long non-coding RNA (247 nucleotides) under Setaria italica (foxtail millet). RNAcentral's name for it is "long non-coding RNA (SITA_LNC002456)". Lineage: Eukaryota; Viridiplantae; Streptophyta; Magnoliopsida; Poales; Poaceae. The record is from RNAcentral.